CCUACGGGUGGCUGCAGUGGGGAAUAUUGGACAAUGGGGGCAACCCUGAUCCAGCCAUGCCGCGUGUGUGAAGAAGGCCCUCGGGUUGUAAAGCACUUUCAGUGAGGAAGAACGCCUGGUGGUUAAUACCCAUCAGGAAAGACAUCACUCACAGAAGAAGCACCGGCUAACUCCGUGCCAGCAGCCGCGGUAAUACGGAGGUGCGAGCGUUAAUCGGAAUUACUGGGCGUAAAGCGCGCGUAGGUGGCUUGAUAAGCCGGUUGUGAAAGCCCCGGGCUCAACCUGGGAACGGCAUCCGGAACUGUCAAGCUAGAGUGCAGGAGAGGAAGGUAGAAUUCCCGGUGUAGCGGUGAAAUGCGUAGAGAUCGGGAGGAAUACCAGUGGCGAAGGCGGCCUUCUGGACUGACACUGACACUGAGGUGCGAAAGCGUGGGUAGCAAACAGGAUUAGAUACCCGAGUAGUC
RNAcentral lists this ribosomal RNA (464 nucleotides) under Vreelandella stevensii. RNAcentral describes it as "partial 16S ribosomal RNA". It matches the Rfam family "Bacterial small subunit ribosomal RNA", at positions 338 to 795 of the family's 1533-position model. Lineage: Bacteria; Pseudomonadati; Pseudomonadota; Gammaproteobacteria; Oceanospirillales; Halomonadaceae. The record is from RNAcentral.